This 253-nucleotide ribosomal RNA is filed under the name uncultured Alicyclobacillus sp. RNAcentral describes it as "partial 16S ribosomal RNA". It matches the Rfam family "Bacterial small subunit ribosomal RNA", at positions 524 to 776 of the family's 1533-position model. Lineage: Bacteria; Bacillati; Bacillota; Bacilli; Caryophanales; Alicyclobacillaceae. The record is from RNAcentral.
UACGUAGGGGGCAAGCGUUGUCCGGAAUCACUGGGCGUAAAGCGUGCGUAGGUGGUUUCGUAAGUCUGAAGUGAAAGUCCAAGGCUCAACCUUGGGAUUGCUUUGGAAACUGCGGGACUUGAGUACUGGAGAGGCAAGGGGAAUUCCACGUGUAGCGGUGAAAUGCGUAGAUAUGUGGAGGAAUACCAGUGGCGAAGGCGCCUUGCUGGACAGUGACUGACGCUGAGGCACGAAAGCGUGGGGAGCAAACAGG